GAUGAACGCUAGCUACAGGCUUAACACAUGCAAGUCGAGGGGAAACGAUAUUGGAAGCUUGCUUCCGAUAGGCGUCGACCGGCGCACGGGUGAGUAACGCGUAUCCAACCUGCCCAUCACUUGGGGAUAACCUUGCGAAAGUAAGACUAAUACCCAAUGACGUCUCUAGAAGACAUCUGAAGGAGAUUAAAGAUUUAUCGGUGAUGUAUGGGGAUGCGUCGGAUUAGGUUGUUGGCGGGGUAACGGCCCACCAAGGCGACGAUCAGUAGGGGUUCUGAGAGGAAGGUCCCCCACAUUGGAACUGAGACACGGUCCAAACUCCUACGGGAGGCAGCAGUGAGGAAUAUUGGUCAAUGGACGAGAGUCUGAACCAGCCAAGUAGCGUGCAGGAUGACGGCCCUAUGGGUUGUAAACUGCUUUUAUAAGGGAAUAAAGUGAGUCUCGUGAGACUUUUUGCAUGUACCUUAUGAAUAAGGACCGGCUAAUUCCGUGCCAGCAGCCGCCGUAA
RNAcentral lists this ribosomal RNA (508 nucleotides) under uncultured bacterium. RNAcentral describes it as "partial 16S ribosomal RNA". It matches the Rfam family "Bacterial small subunit ribosomal RNA", at positions 28 to 523 of the family's 1533-position model. The record is from RNAcentral.